This is a long non-coding RNA of Gallus gallus (chicken), 1136 nucleotides long. The record is from Ensembl. NCBI's taxonomy places the organism in Eukaryota, Metazoa, Chordata, Aves, Galliformes, Phasianidae.
GACCUUUUUGCUUUGCUCUGUGUUUAAAUCUGGAGUAUUUUGCACUGCACAACUGUUUGAACCCCCAGGCAUGCUGCAAUGAGAAAAGGAUGAAAUAGAGGAAGGCAGCGGAGAAGUAACAGAAAUUCAGCAGUAAAGUAGCAGAUGGGUUCCAGCAGAGUUCUGCUUUGAUUUAUGUCCAGCCAAGCACAUCAGGCCCAGGUUUGGGGCCCGGAGGAGUCCAAACCAGAAGCUGUCUGAGGAGCUCCUCACCAAGAGAGGAGCAGCUGAAUCACCAGGUCUUGAAGAAAUGAAGUGUAAGAGGGUGGGCAGCGCGAUUCCCGAGUAUCUCCAGAGUCAUCACCCAUUGCCUCAGGGUUCAGAAGUGCCUGGCAGACACCCUGGAAAGCAACCCAGGGAGUCCCCAGCAGGCCAGAUUUCAUCACAGUGUGUAACCAAAAGUUUCGUGAGAGUAUAUUUUUUGGAUUUGUAUAAUUUUUCGAAGCUAUGCAGACAGCUUCCAUGCAAUUUCUUCUAACCUAACUCACUCACUCUGCAUCUCAAACACGCGCACCAGGAAUGCAGCAGUCUGGCAUGAGUUGCUCAUGAGAGGGAAGAGGAGCCAGCUGCUAUUUAUACAUGACAUACACUAUGCCCACACUCUUAGCAAGUGACUUCAGACUGUGGCAUGGAAAAAUACUUGAGGAACAGACCCUCGUUUUAUUUCAGUUUUAGGAAUCCCAUCAGCACACUCACUGAAGAAAAAGCUCCUAGAAAAGCUGCAUGCAAACACAUAGAGCUAGAUUUUAAAACCGUGUUAGUUUUGGCCUGCCUCUGCUCUCUCUGGAGUUAUUUUGGCCAGCACUCUCCAUUUCUGAGAAUCUCGCAGAUAGAAUUACAAGAGGGAGACUUCUUCACACACACACACACACUCUGAUGCACUGCAGGAACAUUUCUGGCACCUUUAAAGAACCUGACUUCUCUGGAGCUGGGGAUACCAUAGAAGGUAUAAAAAAUUACAGGCAGUGUAUCCAUAUUUCUAUGGCACCCAUUUUAAAUUCCACUGAACUGUGUGAAACACUUACAUUGGAUCAAAUAAGAAAGAUCUUCUGAAUAAAUAAAGUAAGGAAGCUUGGGUGACAGAGCAAAGACUAUUU